UACGGAGGGAGCUAGCGUUGUUCGGAAUUACUGGGCGUAAAGCGCGCGUAGGCGGCUUUGUAAGUUAGAGGUGAAAGCCCGGAGCUCAACUCCGGAACUGCCUUUAAAACUGCAUCGCUUGAAUCCAGGAGAGGUGAGUGGAAUUCCGAGUGUAGAGGUGAAAUUCGUAGAUAUUCGGAAGAACACCAGUGGCGAAGGCGGCUCACUGGACUGGUAUUGACGCUGAGGUGCAAAAGCGUGGGGAGCAAACAGG
RNAcentral lists this ribosomal RNA (253 nucleotides) under uncultured bacterium. Its description in RNAcentral is "partial 16S ribosomal RNA". It matches the Rfam family "Bacterial small subunit ribosomal RNA", at positions 524 to 776 of the family's 1533-position model. The record is from RNAcentral.